GGAAUAGAUAGACUGUUCAAAAGUCGUGAAGUUAACCAUGGGCAAAGGAGCCUGAAAGCUGCCAACCACCUCACCUUAUAUGUUUAGCUAAACCAACAAUGUAAAAAAAGAGUAGACAAUUGUCUCUUUGCUGCCCAAUGACCCAUAUUUCUCCUUUCAUUGCCUUUAGGUUCUGCUAUACCAAGGUUGGUGGCAAAAGUAAAGGGACCAAAAACAAGUCCAAGUAUAUUAUAUAGGCAACGGAACAUUAUCAAGUUCGACGAAGAUUGACUACAGCAUUGACCAUUAUUGCUUGUUAGGUGUUGAGUUUUACAAUGGGAUUCAGCAGAGAGUAACGGCAAGU
Molecule: long non-coding RNA, 343 nt
Organism: Gossypium raimondii (Peruvian cotton)
Lineage: Eukaryota; Viridiplantae; Streptophyta; Magnoliopsida; Malvales; Malvaceae
Exons: 3
Source: RefSeq, a predicted model, not a curated record